AUUUAUGUAGUUUAAGUAAAACAUUACAUUUUCACUGUAAAAAUAUUAUAUUUAAUCAUAAAUU
Molecule: transfer RNA, 64 nt
Filed under: Panesthia tryoni tegminifera
Lineage: Eukaryota; Metazoa; Arthropoda; Insecta; Blattodea; Blaberidae
Description: tRNA-Glu
Rfam family: tRNA
About the family: Transfer RNA (tRNA) molecules are approximately 80 nucleotides in length. Their secondary structure includes four short double-helical elements and three loops (D, anti-codon, and T loops).
Source: RNAcentral